UCGGGAAUUUUGCCCAAUGGACGAAAGUCUGAGGCAGCAACGCCGCGUGAGGGAUGAAGGCCUUCGGGUUGUAAACCUCUUUUCUCAGGGACGAUGAUGACGGUACCUGAGGAAUAAGCCACGGCAAACUACGUGCCAGCGGCCGCGGUAAUACGUAGGUGGCAAGCGUUGUCCGGAUUUACUGGGCGUAAAGAGCGCGCAGGCGGUCGUUCAAGUCGGAUGUGAAAGCCCCCGGCUCAACUGGGGAGGGUCAUUCGAUACUGAUCGACUCGAAGGCAGGAGAGGGAAGCGGAAUUCCCGGUGUAGUGGUGAAAUGCGUAGAUAUCGGGAGGAACACCAGAGGCGAAGGCGGCUUCCUGGCCUGUUCUUGACGCUGAGGCGCGAAAGCCAGGGGAGCGAACGGG
RNAcentral lists this ribosomal RNA (404 nucleotides) under uncultured bacterium. RNAcentral describes it as "bacterial SSU rRNA". It matches the Rfam family "Bacterial small subunit ribosomal RNA", at positions 355 to 776 of the family's 1533-position model. The record is from RNAcentral.